This 164-nucleotide ribosomal RNA is filed under the name Plectocomia mulleri. Its description in RNAcentral is "5.8S ribosomal RNA". It matches the Rfam family "5.8S ribosomal RNA". Rfam says of the family: 5.8S ribosomal RNA (5.8S rRNA) is a component of the large subunit of the eukaryotic ribosome. Lineage: Eukaryota; Viridiplantae; Streptophyta; Magnoliopsida; Arecales; Arecaceae. The record is from RNAcentral.
GGUACGACUCUCGGCAAUGGAUAUCUUGGCUCUGGCAUCAACGAAGAAUGUAGCAAAAUGCGAUACAUGGUUCAAAUUGUAGAAUCCCACGAACCAUCGAGUCUUUGAAUGCAAGUUGGGCCCGAGGCCAUCAGGUCGAGGGCAUGCCUGCCUGGGCGCCGAGC